UACGUAGGGAGCAAGCGUUGUUCGGAUUUACUGGGCGUAAAGGGCGCGUAGGCGGCAAUUCAAGUCAGCUGUGAAAUCUCCGAGCUUAACUCGGAACGGUCAGCUGAUACUGUUUUGCUAGAGUGCAGAAAGGGCAACCGGAAUUCUUGGUGUAGCGGUGAAAUGCGUAGAUAUCAAGAGGAACACCUGAGGCGAAGGCGGGUUGCUAGGCUGACACUGACGCUGAGGCGCGAAAGCUAGGGUAGCAAACGGG
This 253-nucleotide ribosomal RNA is filed under the name uncultured bacterium. RNAcentral's name for it is "partial 16S ribosomal RNA". It matches the Rfam family "Bacterial small subunit ribosomal RNA", at positions 524 to 776 of the family's 1533-position model. The record is from RNAcentral.